This 1343-nucleotide ribosomal RNA is filed under the name uncultured bacterium. RNAcentral describes it as "16S ribosomal RNA". It matches the Rfam family "Bacterial small subunit ribosomal RNA", at positions 28 to 1378 of the family's 1533-position model. The record is from RNAcentral.
GACGAACGCUGGCGGCGUGCUUAACACAUGCAAGUCGAACGGAAAGGCCCUGCUUUUGUGGGGUGCUCGAGUGGCGAACGGGUGAGUAACACGUGAGUAACCUGCCCUUGACUUUGGGAUAACUUCAGGAAACUGGGGCUAAUACCGGAUAGGAGCUCCUGCUGCAUGGUGGGGGUUGGAAAGUUUCGGCGGUUGGGGAUGGACCCGCGGCUUAUCAGCUUGUUGGUGGGGUAGUGGCUUACCAAGGCUUUGACGGGUAGCCGGCCUGAGAGGGUGACCGGCCACAUUGGGACUGAGAUACGGCCCAGACUCCUACGGGAGGCAGCAGUGGGGAAUAUUGCACAAUGGGCGGAAGCCUGAUGCAGCAACGCCGCGUGCGGGAUGACGGCCUUCGGGUUGUAAACCGCUUUCGCCUGUGACGAAGCGUGAGUGACGGUAAUGGGUAAAGAAGCACCGGCUAACUACGUGCCAGCAGCCGCGGUGAUACGUAGGGUGCGAGCGUUGUCCGGAUUUAUUGGGCGUAAAGGGCUCGUAGGUGGUUGAUCGCGUCGGAAGUGUAAUCUUGGGGCUUAACCCUGAGCGUGCUUUCGAUACGGGUUGACUUGAGGAAGGUAGGGGAGAAUGGAAUUCCUGGUGGAGCGGUGGAAUGCGCAGAUAUCAGGAGGAACACCAGUGGCGAAGGCGGUUCUCUGGGCCUUUCCUGACGCUGAGGAGCGAAAGCGUGGGGAGCGAACAGGCUUAGAUACCCUGGUAGUCCACGCUGUAAACGGUGGGUACUAGGUGUGGGGUCCAUUCCACGGGUUCCGUGCCGUAGCUAACGCUUUAAGUACCCCGCCUGGGGAGUACGGCCGCAAGGCUAAAACUCAAAGGAAUUGACGGGGCCCCGCACAAGCGGCGGAGCAUGCGGAUUAAUUCGAUGCAACGCGUAGAACCUUACCUGGGUUUGACAUGGAUCGGGAGUGCUCAGAGAUGGGUGUGCCUCUUUUGGGGUCGGUUCACAGGUGGUGCAUGCCUGUCGUAAGCUCGUGUCGUGAGAUGUUGGGUUAAGUCCCGCAACGAGCGCAACCCUUGUUCACUGUUGCCAGCACGUUAUGGUGGGGACUCAGUGGAGACCGCCGGGGUCAACUCGGAGGAAGGUGGGGAUGACGUCAAGUCAUCAUGCCCCUUAUGUCCAGGGCUUCACGCAUGCUACAAUGGCUGGUACAGAGAGUGGCGAGCCUGUGAGGGUGAGCGAAUCUCGGAAAGCCGGUCUCAGUUCGGAUUGGGGUCUGCAACUCGACCUCAUGAAGUCGGAGUCGCUAGUAAUCGCAGAUCAGCAACGCUGCGGUGAAUACGCUCCCGGG